AGCUAGAGUAUGAUAGAGGAAAGCAGAAUUUCUAGUGUAGAGGUGAAAUUCGUAGAUAUUAGAAAGAAUACCAAUUGCGAAGGCAGCUUUCUGGAUCAUUACUGACGCUGAGGAACGAAAGCAUGGGUAGCGAAGAGGAUUAGAUACCCUCGUAGUCCAUGCCGUAAACGAUGUGUGUUAGACGUUGGAAAUUUAUUUUCAGUGUCGCAGCGAAAGCAUUAAACACACCGCCUGGGGAGUACGACCGCAAGGUUAAAACUCAAAUGAAUUGACGGGGACCCGCACAAGUAGUGGAGCAUGUGGUUUAAUUCGAAGAUACGCGCAGAACCUUACCAACACUUGACAUGUUCGUCGCGACUCUAAGAGAUUAGAGUUUUCGGUUCGGCCGGACGAAACACAGGUGCUGCAUGGCUGUCGUCAGCUCGUGUCGUGAGAUGUUGGGUUAAGUCCCGCAACGAGCGCAACCCUCACUUUUAGUUGCCAUCAUUCAGUUGGGCACUCUGAAAGAACUGCCAGUGGUAAGCUGGAGGAAGGUGGGGAUGACGUCAAGUCCUCAUGGCCCUUACGUGUUGGGCUACACACGUGCUACAAUGGCAUUUACAAUAGGAAGCAAGGUGGCGACAUCAAGCAAAUCCUAAAAAGAUGCCUCAGUUCGGAUUGUACUCUGCAACUCGAGUACAUGAAGCUGGAAUUACUAGUAAUCGCGGAUCAGCGCGCCGCGGUGAAUACGUUCCCGGGUCUUGUACACACCGCCCGUCACACCAUGGGAGUUGGUUCUACCUUAAGGCAAGGUUUUAAACCCUUGACUACGGUAUAGUCAGCGACUGGGGUGAAGUCGUAACAAGGUAAC
RNAcentral lists this ribosomal RNA (850 nucleotides) under uncultured Alphaproteobacteria bacterium. RNAcentral's name for it is "bacterial SSU rRNA". It matches the Rfam family "Bacterial small subunit ribosomal RNA", at positions 639 to 1500 of the family's 1533-position model. The record is from RNAcentral. Lineage: Bacteria; Pseudomonadati; Pseudomonadota; Alphaproteobacteria.